RNAcentral lists this long non-coding RNA (1005 nucleotides) under Cucumis sativus (cucumber). RNAcentral's name for it is "long non-coding RNA (CSAT_LNC000105)". The record is from RNAcentral. Lineage: Eukaryota; Viridiplantae; Streptophyta; Magnoliopsida; Cucurbitales; Cucurbitaceae.
UAAUAUCCACCAACUUAUUAAACCAUGUGAGGCAACCACAUCCUCCUGUGGAAAGCUCCAUCAUUCCAUAGGCCAAGCAAGAGCAAUUACUCAAGCACGCCGCUUUGCAGUCAUGAAUGCUCAUAUUAACAUUCACCAAAUCCCCUGAAGAAUCUGGCAAUUUUACAUUGCUGAUUCUUUUAAACCCCUCUCCAUUUUUGCAGGUUUGAUUGUCCCUUAUAACGCAGCCUCCUAUCCAGCGACGCUUAUUCCAAUCGUCUGGCGAUUUUGGUUGAUACCCAUGAAUGCAAUCGCAGCGCGGUAUGGUAGAAAAUGUACAAACACCAAAAUUUCCGCAGAGUCCGUAGUAAUCGCAGGCAUCUCCCGGUAAUUCAUACAGAAGGUACCAAUCAUUUACAUCAUCCAUCCAAUAAAAUUGUUCGAAUUUCCCUUCUGCGCUCAGUGCAUAUCUUACAGUAAGAUCUUUUGCAGACUCGUAUGAAUAGAAUGCUCCUUCCGCACUAUAAUUGAACCGUGGAGAAUGAAUAGCUGUAUCUCUAAAAGGGGUAGUGCCACUAAACCUCCUACCGAACCAUGGGCCACCCCUGUAUGUUGUUACAUUUCCUCUGCGAGUUUCAAGCUGGGGAAGCCCAGCAGGGUCCAUACCAUAAGUGAAAUCCCCUGAAGACGGAUCAUUCGAGCUUUUCCAUGACGUUAACUUCCAGUUCAUCCUGGUUUUCAAGUCCCAACCCACUUUCAUGCCAGGUAACAGAUUAUCAGAAGGGUAAUCAAAACUCUGCCACACAUAAUGUUCAGACCCAGAUUCUCUUAUAACCAAAUUACCAUUAUCAAGUAGUUGAGCUAUUGGAUCUUUCAGGAAUUUUGAAGAAGUGGGAGACCAUAGAAUUCCAUCGCUUUCAUUCUCAAGAACCAGGCUUUGUCCUUUGAGUGUUAAUCUGGCAGAGGAAUCUACAAGUGGGCUGUCUCUGUUUGCUACCCACACAACUGUUUGUGGGAUGUUCUUGU